UACGGAGGGUGCAAGCGUUAAUCGGAAUUACUGGGCGUAAAGCGCACGCAGGCGGUGAAUUAAGUCUGAUGUGAAAGCCCCGAGCUUAACUUGAGAAUUGCAUCUGAAACUGGUUGGCUAGAGUCUGGUAGAGGGGGAUAGAAUUCCAUGUGUAGCGGUGAAAUGCGUAGAGAUGUGGAGGAAUACCGGUGGCGAAGGCGGUCCGCUGGACAACAACUGACGCUCAGGGGCGAAAGCGUGGGGAGCGAACAGG
RNAcentral lists this ribosomal RNA (253 nucleotides) under uncultured bacterium. RNAcentral describes it as "partial 16S ribosomal RNA". It matches the Rfam family "Bacterial small subunit ribosomal RNA", at positions 524 to 776 of the family's 1533-position model. The record is from RNAcentral.